GGGAUUUGGCCCAAACCUGCGCAAGUCCAUUGGAACAUGGCGCCCAAGAGGGUGAGAGCCCCGUCGCGCAGGCCGCAGCCUUGACAUCCCCCCGUCAAAGAGUCGAGUUGUUUGGGAAUGCAGCUCAAAGUGGGUGGUAAAUUCCAUCUAAAGCUAAAUAUUGGCGAGAGACCGAUAGCGAACAAGUACAGUGAUGGAAAGAUGAAAAGCACUUUGAAAAGAGAGUGAAACAGUACGUGAAAUUGUUGAAAGGGAAGGGCUUGCAAGCAGACACGAGUUCGCUCGGGCCAGCAUCAAUUUCGCGAGGUGGACAACACGCCAGGAAUGUGGCAGGCUCCGGCCUGUGUUAUAGCCUGCGCGCCAUACACCUCCGCGAGAUUGAGGCCUGCUCCAAAAGGAUGCUGGCGUAAUGGUUGCAAGUCGCCCGUCUU
Molecule: ribosomal RNA, 431 nt
Filed under: Helenozyma melibiosica
Lineage: Eukaryota; Fungi; Ascomycota; Pichiomycetes; Serinales; Metschnikowiaceae
Description: [Candida] melibiosica partial large subunit ribosomal RNA
Rfam family: Eukaryotic large subunit ribosomal RNA
Source: RNAcentral